AGGAUUAACGCUGGCGGCGUGCCUAACACAUGCAAGUCGAACGAGGGGGGCAACCCCCGAGUGGCAGACGGGUGAGUAACGCGUGGUCAACCUACCCUAGAGUGGGGAAUAACUAGCCGAAAGGUUAGCUAAUACCGCAUGAUACGUUUUGGGACAUCCCAGGACGUUGAAAGGAGCAAUCCGCUCGAGGACGGGACCGCGUCCGAUUAGCUAGUUGGUGAGGUAACGGCCCACCAAGGCUCCGAUCGGUAGCUGGUUUGAGAGAGCGACCAGCCACACUGGGACUGAGAAACGGCCCAGACUCCUACGGGAGGCAGCAGUGAGGAAUUUUCCGCAAUGGGCGAAAGCCUGACGGAGCGACGCCGCGUGUGGGAAGAAGGCCUUCGGGUCGUAAACCACUGUCGAAGGGGACUAUACUGAAGGUACCCUUGGAGGAAGCCCCGGCUAACUACGUGCCAGCAGCCGC
Molecule: ribosomal RNA, 466 nt
Filed under: uncultured bacterium
Lineage: Bacteria
Description: SSU rRNA
Rfam family: Bacterial small subunit ribosomal RNA
Source: RNAcentral